AUUUCUCGCUUCAGCUCCCAGAAUAGCUUUUUCACCCCUAGACUCUGAGCGCAUGCCUGUCUCUCCAGGUUACCAGUGGCCCGCUGACACCCAUCUCCUUCCACGCCCCCCUUCCGGCGUCUACCCCGAGCUUCCCUGGGCCCCACGAGUCACACCGACACGCACACCUAUAGGCCGGCGGCGGGGAGCGUCUAGGGCACGAUGCAGCCGGACUGCAUUGCACAGUCAUCAAAGUUAAGUGUGUGUGUUUGUGGGGUGCCUGUGCGCCCCGGGGGAGGCGCGGGGUCAGAAGGAGCGGAGCCUCCACUCUGCACCCCCCUCCCCGGCCACCUCCGCGGGUCAGGGGACGCCUCUACUUGAGAUUGCAGCCAUUUUAGGGAAAGAGGCGGCUCGGGCCCCGAGGGGAGUGGAGGGGGGACACAGCACGUUGCGGGGGGCUCGCGGUUCUGCAGCCCCUCGGCGCAACUGGAAGGCGGGCAGGCGCCAGGCGCACAGGGGCGCGGCGCCCGCGGCGACUUGGGGAAGGUUGCGCUCGAGUUCCCUGGUUCUGCCUGGAGUUGUUCGGGAUCUAACUGAGCCCAUUGUAGGCCUGCUCUUGUAUGAAUAUUUCACCCUGCUACGUACCAGAUGGAGUAAGUGAUUGCAACCCUCUACCCCCAAUUGAAGGGAUGUGCAGGGGACCCUACCUGACUGGUGAGACCUCUGCGUCAGAUUUUCACUGGAGCCAUAGAGAGGUGUGCGCUCUCUGCUGUGAGAGCGAGGCUGGGAGAAUGUGUAAGGCUGGCACUCUUCCAGGCCAUUUGACUCCCACCAGAAUGAACCCAGCUGCUUAAGAAUGAAGCCAGCUCAGAAGGAAAGAGUGCAUGAGAGGAAGCACUGCACAUUCCUGACUUAGAUCCUUUGAGCAACUGGAUCCAGCCUAACCUGAAGCAAGACACCUCCCUGGACUUUGAGUAUGUAAGCCAAUAAACUUCUCCUCAUUAUAAGCCAGUUUGAGCCUGAUUUAUGGAAGUUAAGCAUCUUGGCCAAGAUAACAUAUCUAAUGAAUGUGGAGUAAUAUUCAGAUCCAUACAACCCUAAUUCCAUAUGGUUCUUAACCACCAUGCUCUAGCAUGGCACUUAGCAUCUACGGCAGGACAGAGCUCAGAGCCACAUCCCUUUCACUGCCUGGCCCUCACUGGGAGUCUCUUCCCUUCCAGAAGCAGCUGCCAAUUUGUUUAAGAGGGUAAUCGAUCGGAGUACAUCUCAGGUUUUUUUGUGGGUUUUGUGUUGUUUUGUUUGACUCUUAUAGAGGCAAAUAUCUCAGCUUUAUUUGGAUUGUUUGUUGCAUCCAAUCAUUAAAACCAUGUUCAUGUCUUGAUCACUUGGUGAAAGGCUAAAGUGGAAGUGAGAAAGUGUAAAAAGAAUACGGAAUUAAGGCCAGACACAGUGGCUCAUGCCUAUAAUCUCGGCUCUUUGGAAUGCCAAGGCAGGCAAAUCACUUGAGGUCAGGAGUUCAAGACCAGCUUGGUCAGCAUGGUAAAACCCCAUCUCUACUAAAAAUAUCAAAAAUAAUUGGCCAAGCAUUGCGGCUGCCACCUGUAAUCCCAGCUACUCAGGAGGUUGAGGCAGGAGAAUCACUUGAACCUGGGAGGCAGAGGUUGCAGUGAGCUGAGAUCAUGCCACUGCACUCUAGCUUGGGCAAGAUUCCAUCUCAAAAACAAAAAGAAGUAAGAUUCCAUCUCAAAAACAAAAAGAAAGAGAGAGAGUAAGAUUCCAUCUCAAAAACAAAAAGAGAGAGAGAGAGAAAGAAGAAAAAGAAAGAAAGGAAGGAAGGAAGGAAGGAAGGAAGGAAGGAAGGAAGGAAGGAAGGAAAGAAAAAAAUAGGGAAUUGAGAGCUUCAACCCUUGCCUAUUUUCUGACGACCCAAAUCAGGAGAUAUUUAUAGACAACCUCCGUAUUAGUCAGGACUCAGCUGCAGUGACAAAAACCUAACUUCCCUGUCUAAAACAAAACAAAACAAAACAAUAUUUAAAGAACUUUAGUGGUUCUCCUGACUGAAGAGCCAGGCAUAGGGGUGUUUUCAGGCAAGGCUGGCCUAUACA
RNAcentral lists this long non-coding RNA (2084 nucleotides) under Callithrix jacchus (white-tufted-ear marmoset). RNAcentral describes it as "lncRNA (ENSCJAG00000076614.1)". Lineage: Eukaryota; Metazoa; Chordata; Mammalia; Primates; Cebidae. The record is from RNAcentral.